Arvicola amphibius (Eurasian water vole) is the source of this 2142-nucleotide long non-coding RNA. RefSeq lists it as uncharacterized. The record is from RefSeq and is a predicted model, not a curated record. The transcript is spliced from 2 exons. Lineage: Eukaryota; Metazoa; Chordata; Mammalia; Rodentia; Cricetidae.
UGAAGGAGGCAGGAAGCUUGUUUGCAUUGGGCAGUAGCAAACGAAUUCCCACCCUUAACUUCACAGACAGGGGUGGGGGUGGGGUGUCACACAGAGGCCAGGUAGGCAGGUCCAGGCAUUUGACAAAUCAGCAGCAGUGGGCCAGGAGGGGAUAAGGGCAUCUUGAGUCUUGAGUGCUCUGUAGUUGGAGGGUCUUUGUGGGGGCAGAUGACCUCUCCUGGGAAACCCCAGGGUCCUUCAUCACGCAUCUGGAAGCAGUUCCCAAAGACGAGUGCCACUGGGGUCAGAUAAGUCUGCAGAGAAAAUGCUGGGCUCUGGAGGCCCAGAGUCCAGCGGUGGACCGCCACUCAAGGCCUCCAGCCAGUCCAAGGAAUCUGAUGUCAUCGAUGUCCCGAUUCGGAAGCAGCUGUGGAUGAGCACACGCUCUGUGACCCUGGUUCCUGCUUAGGUACACAGCCCAGUCCCCGAGCACGCCCCAGCCUCGCAUCCCCUUCCACCUGCGCCCUGUGGAUCGCUUCCUGCAGCUCCUCCUCCAGAGUCAGGCUGGCUGGAGAUGUUGGAAAGGGAGUUGGAAGAGCUGGAGCCGAAGCUGAAGCGGGAGCGGGGGCCUGAACCGGCGUGGGAGCCGGAGCCGGAGACGGAGCCGGAGCUGCCCCCAGAGGAUCCGCAGCUCCAGAAAAUUGCAGCCUACGAGUCGUUGCACUCGUCUUUACCUAGAACCAGAAAAGGUGGGAGUUUCCUAAGUCUGGCACAUCGGGCGUGGCUCUGCCCCCGGCCCUAACACAGUCUUUAGUUUCACCCCAAUACUUUGUAUUUUUUUAACAUUUUUAUGUGUGUGUGCAUGUAUGUGUACAAUCAGCGGGCAACUUUCAGAGCUGGUUCAUGGCUCCCACCUUAUGGGUCUCGGGGAUAGAAUUCAAGAAGUCAAGCUAGGCAGCAAACACUCUUAUUCCCUGAAGCAACUUUCAGGCUCCGCUCCUAUCCUUUCAUUGGCUUCUCUCCGUUAAACCACGCCCACCAUGCUCUAACUACGUCCUCCGGGCAACCAGUGGUUGGUCACGCUCAAUUGAGCUUAGCGGCUCAAUUGUUAGGCUCCGUCCCCAGCAGCACACCCGCUUGGGGGCAGAGGCAGGUGGAUCUCUGUGAGUUCGAGGCCAUCCUGGUCUACAGAGUGAGUUCCAGGACAGCCGGGGCUACAUAGAGAAACCCUGUCUAGAAAAGUGACAACCAUCAAGAGACCCGCCCCCAGGAGUAAGUCACGCCUCCUUGCCAACACGUCAUUGGCUGCUCUUUUCCAAGGUCUCGCCCUAUUCCUCUUUCUCUUCUCUUGAUUGGUGCGUGCACAGCCCCGCCCUCACCGUGCCGGGCCGCCUGGUAUGUCCCAGAGCUUUAGGCCUAAGGCGCGGCCAGGGAGCCGCAGCCUCUUUGUCCUCACGCCGGGGCUUCUGCCGUUCUCUGGGCGGGGCGCCACCGCGCAUGCGCUCCAGCAGCAUCGACUUGGUCCCGGAGACUGGGAGUCCCCGUAGGCGCAGCUGCUGCCGAAGCUCUGAGACCUAAGGGGCGGGAACAGGGAGAGGAGGUGCUGGGCGAGCUCUGGGGUACAAUUACUAGGAAACUAGAGGAGCCAGAAUCUUGACCGACUGCCCUAGGGCACGGGCCAUGGGUCUGUGAGGUCUGGGUCCAGCCCUGAAGAAGAGAUGACACUGGGACCCUGGGACGCUGCAUACUAAACCCACCGUCAGCUCUUCCAAUUUAAGGGUCUGAAGUUCCAGCUUGUGUGAAGGGGGUGAGGGCCUGGAGUUUCCUGGUGAGGAGGGCUUCAUCCUAGCGACCGGCGUGAGAGGGUGAGGAAAGGUUAGGACAGAUGGAAAAAGGUAUUUAGGGACCUUAAAACCUGGGGCUUCGAAGGAUGCAGGAAAAUGAGGAAUUCUGGGCCUCCUAUGGAGCAAACACAGGGCUGGUUUUGUGGGUGUGGGAGUUAUGCACCGGGAUGUCUCCAGCGCAGGGCUGGGGAUGUGCACAGCUGGGGUUCAGGGGGAGAGGGUUUCAGAGCAGGCUCCUCUCCCUUGCACUCUGUGUUUGAGGGAGGAGGAUGGGGUCUGAGUUUCUGGGCCUCUGGAGAAUAAAACUGAAAGUCCUACC